CAUUGAUGCAUUGGUGAAGUGCCUCAAAUCUGCAAGUGACAUAAUUUGCUUGACAAUCAGCAUUCCCCAUCAAUAAUGAAACCAAAGACAUAGCUUAAUAGACAACAAGGCUAGAGCAGCUGGCAGUGUUGCACAAAUCUGGCACUCUGGCUGCUGAGUUUAUUAGACGUUUUAUAGUCUUGGGAACUAAAGAUAAUGGAUCCCAUUCCCAUAUGCUGCAUCAACAAGAGCUGGGACUUCGUCGUGCCAUUGAUCUAUGAGGCAGCAGUGAAUACAACCCAGACACAAAUGCUAAAAUGAAUCAAUCCUAAGCUGUUAAAGAGACACCACGAAGCACUUUCCAGUUUUCAGUUCUUGCUUUCUAAUCUCCAUUCCAUGAAAUACUCUCCCAAGGGCUUUGAAAUACAACAGUUUGCUGCAGAGUUUGGGAUCAGGUUGAGAGGAAUUGCCCCUGUGGAUCAAAGAAUAGAGAUGAAAUUUAGAGCCCAUUACCCUUAGUAGGCACUUGUGAGCUCCACCCAUUCCUUAUGAAGCAAAAAGCUUUUGGGGAUUGCUUUAAUUUUUAAAAAGUGCUGUGUGAUUAUGUUCAUACAGGUUUACUGUAGGGUUCAUAAAGCUAUUCUCCUCGGAUAACUGGAAGACAAACUUUGAUUUGUUUCCAAGAACGGAAAAUUGUAUGUAUCUGCAGCCAAGAGAAUGAAGAAGAAAACUAAAGCAGAAUUUAGUCUGGACCUGACCGAUAGUGGCUGUAGUCUGUGCAGGGCUGACAGAGGACCAAGUGCACUGCUGACAUAGCUAUGCAGUAAGGGCUUUUUAGGUACAGAUGCAGAUGUUUUUGGGGAGUUUUCUUCAAGGCCACAUAUAUCAUCUGUCCUGUAAAUGAUUGCAGUUGCACUAGCUUCUGUCCUUGACUGUGCUUCUUUGUCAAGCACAGCAGCGAUAGCAAUCACUUCAGGUUUUGCAAACCUGCAGAUCACUAUUGCCAAUCUUUGUAUGAACAAGAGCUAAUUAAUCUUCACCACAUCUUUGUGAAGAAGGAUGAGAGCAUCAAAAAGGCACAGCUGAAGAAGCAGAAGAGCUUUCCUGGUUUUCUUUCCAUUCAUUUAGUUAUACAGGUACCAGGUUUGCAAGCAGAACAUCUUAUUGAAGUUUCAGACAGAUUUGUAUUGAUUUGAAGUCAGAACUUUGUCCAGCUAAGUGAACCUGCAAUAAACUAAUUUUAUGCCAAGUUAAGCCUGUACAGAAACAUCUUGCAGUGGUUAAAAUGAAUUGGCAUUUAAACAAAGUAAACAUAAUUUGAUAAAACUUCAGUGAGAAGAUGAGACUACUCAUAUUGUGGCCAUGCAAGAGCAUUUGAGAG
Molecule: long non-coding RNA, 1360 nt
Organism: Vidua chalybeata
Lineage: Eukaryota; Metazoa; Chordata; Aves; Passeriformes; Viduidae
Exons: 4
Source: RefSeq, a predicted model, not a curated record